AGGAGAUUGAGGUCGAAGAGGAGGCAAAGUGGGCCCGAUUCUUUUCGUUUGCUUUUUAAAUCGAGAAAAGAGCAAUCCGGCGAAUGAUAUGGCUAAGGCAGCUCCUAGUUGAAGCACAAACAGAUGAUCAAAUGCGUAACAUGUGAAGAUUGAGAAGAAAGAUUUGAUUUGAUGGCAAAGAAUUUCGAUGUGUUGGAGAAAUAUUGAACAUAGGAUGAUUAUAAUGGAUGAGAAGUCGAUCACGAGACUGUGUCUUGGAAUGGAACGAACAUAGCCAGAUGCGUUUCGGUAACAUAUUCUAAUCAAAUCAUUAUAGAUCUUUUAAUUAAUUAGUAUUCAAGGACUGGCUCUUUAAUAUGACUCAGUUCUGUUUUUGUAGGCUGGAUUCCUGUGACUUAUUAAAUUUAAUGUUUUAUAAUAAAAAGAUCCAUGUCACUGAGCCUGAUAUGCUUCGAAGUCAAAAAAAUUUUUUUAAUGAAAACUUGAAAGAGAUAGCCAAUUAUAUAUAGAAAGAAUUUGGCCCAACAAAGAUCACGUUGAAGGGUUUGAUUUUUUUUGUUUUGGAUUUUGGUUUUAAUGGUCUUUUCGGAUGGUCGAUCUUUAAGGUCUAUUGAGUCCGGUAGUCUGAUGACUGAAGCUGAUUGGUUGAUUGAGUUUUUGAAGAUUUAGUUUUUGCAGGCAGAUUCUGAAACCCAAUCUUGCGUCAUAGCGGUUUCCGUGAUGAUUGUGCACAUAUGUGUUCUCUUGGCUUCAGUAGAUUGGGUGCAUUAUUUGAGGUAUGCGUAUCUCCAAUCAUUUGUUUAUUAAUGCGAGGACUAUAGUUUAUCUUCAGAGAUGAAAUCGAUUGUUAAUUCUAAAUCUAGUUAUAAGUCUAUUGGAGGGAGGAAGAAGAUGAAUAAAACAAGUUUAAGUCAAAAAAAAAAGUGAGACAGUCUAUUUUAGGUUUUUGUUUUUGUUUUGUCACUCUGGUUCUGGAACUGAUUCCGUUAAGUCUUUGGCAUGUGUCUCUGGGUUACUUGUUUACCCGUCAGCUUAUGUAUCUGGAUGUAAAUAUAUGCAAUCGCAGGCUUUGGUUCUGA
Long non-coding RNA from Brassica napus (rape), 1079 nucleotides. RefSeq lists it as uncharacterized. Lineage: Eukaryota; Viridiplantae; Streptophyta; Magnoliopsida; Brassicales; Brassicaceae. The record is from RefSeq and is a predicted model, not a curated record. The transcript is spliced from 2 exons.